CGCAAAACCCGGGCCGGAUCUGGCGCGGACGGGGUCGGGCGGCCGCGGAGGUGGGAGCGGCGCGGGAUGGCGGGAAGAGCCGGAGAAGCGGCGUCGGCUCCAAGGUGUGCGGCGCUGGGAGGCUUUUCUCCCGGAUCGCGCACGUGGCCUGUGGCCGAGGCGCAGGGGCUGAAGAUUCCUAGACAGUGGAUGCCAAGACUAGUUUUUCGAACUGGCCCAGCACUCCAGAGCAUACUGCAGGCGCUGAAUAAAUGUUUUCCUGAACAAGUUCCUAGCAGAGUUCCUAGUAAAGCACUGUGAAGCAUAGAGGAAUGAACGACUGGUUUUGACUAAGAAAGGGGCCAAAGAAGGCUUCUUGAAAGAGCAGCAUUUAAGCUGAACUCUGAAGAUCAAACCCAGAUGACAGGAAAGGCCCUUCCAUUGGAGAACAGCGGCAGCAUCGAGGGAUGUGCAGUGGGCGGGGAUGUGGUGGAUCUGAGCAGGGGAACUUGGGGCUGUAGAAAAGGAAGAAAGGCAGCUGCCUCGAAUUCAGGAGAACCGUGAGCACAAACGCUUCAUUUAUGGGAUCCAGAAUAGGGACAUGAACAUGUAAAAUAAGAUAAGGAGUAUGGGUAUACAGAAAAAAAAGGAAGAGAAAGAAAGAGGAAAAGGAAGAAAAAGUCAAAAGAGAAGGAGAGCAGUUUAUAGGGGAACUUCAGGCAAACUACAUGAAAAGAAAAAGAAAUGACAAAGAAAACCCCUGACUUGAGACUGUAGGAACAAAAACAUUUUAAUAGCAUGUGAGGGUGGUCUUUAUGGAGGAGAGAGAGAAAAGAGGUAACAAUGAAACUAGUGUUUUGAUUAAAGAUCUUUGACCAUUAUAGUUUCUCAUUUGAGAAGGUGUGAACUGGAUGAGAAAAAUAGGAUAAGAUGUUAGACAUCACUAUUCAGAAAGAAAUGGAACUCAAAACAGCAAGAGACAGCGAUAGACUGGAAACAAGAUAAAUCUUUGCCAUUUAUCUUGCACAUCAUUAAGGAAUCUAACUAAAUUGUGACACAGUCAAUAGAAUAUAAUGCAGCCAUUAAAAAUGAAGUAUAAGUAUGGAAAAACAUGUUAUGUGAAGAAGCAAGUUAUAAGUCAGCACCUCUGGAAGGACCCAUCAAAAAUGUUAGUGGGGUUCCCUCUAGAUGUUUUGAUCAUUAGUGAUUUUUCACUUUCUCCAAACCUGUAAGUAGUGUCUGAAUCUUAACAAUGAGCAAUUAUUACCUUUUUCAUUAGAAAAUUAACACAUGAGUAACUACAGUUUUAACCUUUUUUAAA
This 1300-nucleotide long non-coding RNA is filed under the name Sus scrofa (pig). RNAcentral's name for it is "lncRNA (ENSSSCG00070026447.1)". Lineage: Eukaryota; Metazoa; Chordata; Mammalia; Artiodactyla; Suidae. The record is from RNAcentral.